RNAcentral lists this long non-coding RNA (875 nucleotides) under Brassica rapa (field mustard). Its description in RNAcentral is "long non-coding RNA (BRAP_LNC006330)". The record is from RNAcentral. Lineage: Eukaryota; Viridiplantae; Streptophyta; Magnoliopsida; Brassicales; Brassicaceae.
GGAAGUGUAGCGUUAAUGUUUUGUGUUAUUAGGACUUGGAAGAACCACUUGGAUUGGGCCUCUGAGAGAAAUAUCACUAGAUAACUAUUGGGCUAUACUUUUCAAAGACAAAGCCCAAUAAAACGAGAAAGUAAAAUAGUGAAAACACCCUCAGUGUCAUCAUGUCAGUCUUAGGAAUGUGAUGUGAGUGACUGAGUGUCCUACAAAUGAGAAAGGUAUUCUGUUCGGCUAUUAUUUAGAAUUAUUAUAUUUUCUUCUGGGGUAAAGAAUCGAGUUUUUUGUGGUUCAUUUGUUUGUGAUAAUAAUUAAAUUCUUAAUUAGUAAUAUACUUUUUUUUUUUUUUUUUUUUGCUAAAACGUUAAUAUCAUAUAAAAUGAAAAAAGGAUCUUACAAAGUUAGAAUCCUAAAGACAACACUUCCAAGGCAAAAAAAGGAAAAACAAGGAAGUAUUACAGAGGGUUUUACAGAUUUCUAGAACAGAGUUUACUCAAACUUAAGCCAAGAAGACAAGAGAGUGUUGUAUGCUCUCCGUCCCCUCCUUCCUAAGAGAAUAUUUCUCACCUCUCGAUCAAUAAUCCUGAAAACCGUGUCCGGAGGGAUAAGAACUCGGUUAUGGAGGAUAUUAUUUCUCUGACGCCAGAUGUGGUAGAGAGUAGAUUGGGUAACAAUUUUCUUCAAAGUGCAGAAAUUUCCUCGGGAUGGUGCCUUUAUCCAUGAGAGAAGUUCGGUCCAGUUCAUAAAGCACACAUUUGGGGACUCCAAUCUUGGGAGAACAUACCUCCAUAUUUCAGAGCUGUAGCCACAGGUGAGAAGGAUGUGAUCACGGGUUUCUAUUCCAAACAAACAGACAGGACAGUUGGUGGCGUCGGUGACCC